CCUACGGGAGGCAGCAGUGAGGAAUAUUGGUCAAUGGGCGAGAGCCUGAACCAGCCAAGUCGCGUGAGGGAGUACUGCCCUAUGGGUUGUAAACCUCUUUUGUCGGGGAGCAAAAGCCGGACGUGUCCGGCUGUGAGAGUACCCGAAGAAAAAGCAUCGGCUAACUCCGUGCCAGCAGCCGCGGUAAUACGGAGGAUGCGAGAGUUAUCCGGAUUUAUUGGGGUUAAAGGGUGCGCAGGCGGAUUUGUAAGUCAGCGGUAAAAUAGUGGGGCUCAACCCCCGCCAGCCGUUGAAACUGGGGAUCUAGAGUGUGCGAGAGGUAUGCGGAAUGCGUGGUGUAGCGGUGAAAUGCAUAGAUAUCACGCAGAACCCCGAUUGCGAAGGCAGCAUACCGGUGCACAACUGACGCUCAGGCACGAAAGCGUGGGUAUCGAACAGGAUUAGAUACCCGUGUAGUC
This 458-nucleotide ribosomal RNA is filed under the name uncultured bacterium. Its description in RNAcentral is "partial 16S ribosomal RNA". It matches the Rfam family "Bacterial small subunit ribosomal RNA", at positions 338 to 795 of the family's 1533-position model. The record is from RNAcentral.